UGUUUAAUUUAUUUUUGUACAGGUGAACAUUAAGGAUGACAUUUAAAGAAAAAAAUCUAUUGACAUUCAUUGUAAUUCACAUCAGACAGCACAGUAGAGAACUUGUUGGUGAAAAUCAAGUCUCUCAUCCACAUUUCCAACAGGUCUCUGUUUAGGCAGAGGUAGCUGGGACGUUCUAGUUCUGUGAAACGAUACCAGAGUACAGCACUAUUGAGAACCACUGCCUCCACAUUACAGGACUCCGCAACUUACAGGAAUUCUUCAAAGAGGAAAUUCGAAAUUUGAUUGAAAAAGUGUCAUUCACCUUAUCACCGUCUACAAUAUUCAAUUACUUGUGGCCUAUUUUUUGAAGAAAUAAUGUCAAGAAAAAGUGCAAAAGAUGGAAAAAGUAAUUAUGAAUUCUAUUUUAUUCAUUUUGAAUCAAAUGUUUAAUUUGAAAUCAUUAUUAUUUUUUAGAUUACAAUGAUAUUUAGGUCAUUACGAUUCAUUUUAGAAACGGCAAUAUUAUACAAUUGCUCACUGAAUUAUUAUUGUUGAACUGUUAGUGAAGUUAAAUUAAUAAUUUUGUAACUUUGUUAAAAUUAAUUGAUUUCAGUGAAAUCAAGAUUAAACCAGAAAUAUAGCAAAUGCUUUGCUGCCUUAUAAUGUUAUAUCUUAUCAGGACCUCCUAUAUACCUGUAUAAGAGGUACUGAUAUUGUGUUUUUAAGAAAAAAUAUAGGGAAAAUGUGAUGAUAUUAGAGUAUUACUAAUAGCAUAAACUUGUACCAAAUGUGAUAGCACUGUUGAUUUAUUUAGUAAUAUUUAUGUUGUAACGUUCAUUACUGUGUUGUUAGUAUUCAUGUUUAGUUCAUUUGUAGUAACAUAUGUUGUGAAGGGAUCAAGUAUCCAGUUUUUUGUGCUUCCAAUUGUUUAGUGAUUAUGAAAAUAAUAGUUAUUUGUAUAUCUAGAGUGAAAAGUACUGUUUUUUCCCCCUGAGGGAAAAGUUUGAAGCAACAAUUUUCCUGAGGGAGGAAAAACUUUUCUCACUCGUGAUAUACACAACAUUUUUCCUCCACCUACAUUUUUAUAAAACUGCAAAUAAACUAAUUUUUAAAAACGUACGUGACCAAACAAUGUGUUACAAAUUAUCUAAAAAGUAAACAGCUGGGCUGGCUUGUAAUCACAGUUCUCCGCCGACAGCGCUAUGCGAUACCUGUCGGCAAAAGUUGUAACAGCAAUGGCCGCCACGACAACUAUGAUGAUGUUCCCGUUUCAAAUUUGAUUAGUUAAUGAGGAAUAUUUGUUGGCUGGUAUUUUGAAUAACUUGGAAUAUAAAAAAUAUAUACAUUUUUUAGUAUAGUGAUAUGAAGUUUGUAAUAAUUUUAGCAUACAAACAUAAAUUUCAUAUAUUUCAUGAAAAUGAAUAAUAAUAAAUAUUGAUCAAAUGUCUGGUUGAGGUAUUGAAUUUAGUUGAUUUAAUGACUACUCUAUUUAUGCUUCCUCAUCUGAGCUUAGACCUUCUAACCUAUUUCAAAUGUACGUUUUUGAAAUAGAGAUGCUUCCCAUGUUAUUUAAAUGGAGUCACUUUUACGCUCUAGGGAGUUUUCCUGUUUUUUCCUCCCGAGAGCGAAAAAGUGACACUUUAGUAUUAUGUUCCAGGGAGUAAAGUAAGCACUUUAGACAGGAGGUGGAGGAAAAAGUUUUUUUUAUAAAACUAAACAAAAAGCUAAGAAUCAAUGUUUUAUAUUUGUAUCAAAUCGCAAAUAAUAUAAAAUAAUAAUCAUGGUAAAUGUAACAUCUCCGACUCAUCCCGGUUCACUAGUUUAUGCGGGCAUAAACUCAGAAAAUGCUUAAAUUGGUGUCGAUCUUAUCUGUUAUUGCUUUUUUACGUUUUAACUUUUUUUUAGUUUGAAAGUUUUAUAGUUACAUCAAAGUUGAUCUAAGAUAGUUGUAUCUAAAUGACAGCAAUGUUACUUUCAAUGUACGGUUUAAAUUUCAGAAAAUGGCUGAAAACCAAAUAAUCAUUAUUCUAAAUAAUAAGAAAAAGAUUGAAUUAUCAAAUUAGAAUUAAUUGAUUGAAAGAAAUAAGAAUAAGCCCAUGUACAUCCUUGGUAAAUUCAGAAUCUUUAUGCAAAAUUUCAAGUUAAUCAGUUCAGUAGCUCAGACGUGAUGAUGCGUCCGUCAUUCGUGUAUUCCUAUCACAUACAUGUGUAAGACGAUUCUUUCCUUUAUAGAUUAUCUAUCAAUUUGAGGGCUGCUUGACAGUUUUAGAUAUUAUUUUUUGACACUUGAUAUUAACAUUGUUGGCUGAAACCGAUCAUGUCUUCAAAUAUAAAAUAUACUAUAUUGAGGUCCACGUUAUGAAGUCAGCACCUGAUUAACGUUGGUGCUGCUAUCCUUGUCUGUCAUUACACGAAGCAGAUAGCUCUAACCUUUUCUAGAUCCGCAAAUUUGCCAGAUUGUUUUUAAACAGAGUAGAAAUAUGAUUAAUUACUAAAAUAUUUCAUCUCAAUACAUUAUGACAAUUUAUUAUUAUACAGGGCCCGGCAUAAAAACCUGACGAUUUUUGAGGGAUCAUAACUAAAGUGUCUUUCGUACAAUUAAAUCAUAUAAUAUAUCAAAUUAAAGAUCAAGUUUUGCAAUUUAUAGUGAAUUACAUAGAUUACUCACACAGUUUUUUAUUUGUAGAUUAUAUCAUCCAAAUGAUUUCCGUUACUUUUCACACACUCACUUAACCUAAUUCUAAAAUUUGCCAUUGUUCGCUCAAUCAUCACUUGUGGAAUUGCUUCAAUUUCUCGUUGAAUGACUUCCUUUAGUUAUGUGGAUUACUGGCUGGUCAAUAACGGUAAUUUUGUUUAUUCACAAAUUCCGAAAAAAAAUCUGGUGUGCACUCACACAACUUUCUUUGCCGUUAUGAAAAUUGAUCACCUGACGCUAGUGUUCUCGCGCAUCUCAAGUCUACUAUAUGAGACAGCUGGUGAUAGGACAAUAACGCUGGAGACACACGAGGUCUGCUAUCUCUUCGUAGUGAAUGAUUUAACAGAACCAACACUUGUCAACAGUUUGCAAUUUAAUAAUCACAUUUUCUCGAGUUUCAAGCUUAUUUUCAAUUUAAGGUGAAAAUGUUACUGGACAUUAAUUGCAGAGAUUUUCAUGGUCUAUCUUUUCCACUUAAAAUUUGUUGUUUAAAUUGUAUAUGAAGGCUGAUAAUUGAUAAUCUAAAAUAAAACUUUGCAUAGAUGGGGCAGAGCUCCUAAAAGUUUUACAGAUAUAGGACUUGUUGCAGUUGAUAGAGCUUAUCGAUGACUAUUUCAACGAUCGAAAUCGUUGGAGCCGUUUUUGAAAAAAUCGCAAAAAUCCCUGUUUUUGACAACAUUUUCGCCAUUUUAGCCGCCAUCUUGGACUGCAUUCAAUCGAAAUUGUUCGUGUCGGAUCCUUAUAGUGUAAGGACCUUACGUUCCAAAUUUCAAGUCAUUCCGUUAACUGGGAGAUUGGUAUCGUGUACACAGACGUACAUACACUCAUACACACACACACACACACACACACACACACACACAUACAGACCUAUACUCAAAAACCACUUUUUCGGACUCAGGGGACCUUGAAACGAAUAGAAAUUUAAAAACUGGGGUACCUUAAUUUUUUCGGAAAGCAAUACUUUCCUUACCUAUGGUAAUAGGGCAAGGAAAGUAAUAAAAAUGUUCCUCGUCACUUGAAAGAAUAACGGUAUCCUGGUGGAUUUUUUUGUGAGAAUGAUCUCGCAAGCGGCUUUGCAAUGUGCCGAAUAAUUUGCAUUAAGUUGUUAAACUAACAUUAUCUUAUACAGAUGAAAUUUUGGGUCGGAAUGAAGAAUUCGUCGUUCACUUCGAUCAGAAAUGGGUAGAGCAACCGCAUGUUUCGCUGCUGAACGUCGUGGAGACCGUGUAACAGCUACUCAGGCGUUUUUGAGGCGUUCUCACGGUUCGUUUUCGUCCUGUAGGUUUCGUUUUUAAAGCGGACAACGUGUUCCUGGAAUUCUUCACCCACAAUAGGAUCGUAUUCCUACUGGGAACAGGCGCGUGUCGAUUUAAAUUAUUGAAAUGUCUGUGACAUAAACGCUUUUUUAAAAUAACUGAGUCAUUAUUUUUAAAAUAAGCUUCAAUCACAAUCGCUUGAUGUUCACUUGACCACGACAUACUGGCUACUGAAAUGGCAAGAAUAGACCUGUCGAUGUACAACAUUCCCGCCUUUUCAAUGAUAGUGGUUCAAACAUAACAAUUACUACAAAAUCGUCAGAUUAAUAUGCCGGUCCCUGUAUAAUAUUUUAAAUUAUACUUUCUUGAAGAAUAAAAUAUACUUGAUUAUUAUUGACAAUGAACAAUUAAUAUCACAUCAGAUAAACUGCAAUCAGCUAUUUAUUUACUAUAGGAGGCAGUUGUAACUUAGAGAAUUGGCAACGCUGUUGUCCUUUAUAUAGUGGACCUCACUAUAGUGAUUGUAAACUGUGAAUGAGGUGUCACUGAAGCAGAAUCAGUAUUGUUUUAUAGAGUUUAGGUUUCAAUUUUUCGUAAAACUUCAUUCUCAAGUUAUCAGUGAAAUAAUAACACAAUAUUUGGUAGUUAAUUUUAAUUCGUAAUAAUUUUUUAACCUCACUUUACAGUAUUUUGUUGAUAUUAAUCUAUAUUUUAGCAUACCAUUUAGUUUAGAGCUAAUCUACUUCCUACAACUGUUUAAUGUAAGUGCCUUAUGGGGAAAAAAUUAAGACUUGAGAUUCUAUUAUGUAAACAUAAUGAUAAUUCUUAAGAUUAAGCAGAGCACUGUAAUUAGAUUAGAUGACGAUUUAUAGAUUAGGUUGAUUUUGACUGUUAGGCCUGGUUGCUCAAAAGUCGGUUAAAUUUUAACCGUGACUAAUUUCACGAGAUCCAAUCAGAGAAGGCCUUUUUGAAAAGACGGCUUUUCUGAUUGAACGGAAGUUUCUUAGGAGACAUUUUUUCCGAGUAAUACUUUUUUAGAUAGAGCGCCUAAAGUUUAAAUUUUUGGGAAGAUAGUUUCUAAUUCGAUAAUAACUUUCAGUUGUUAUUUUUGAUAAGACGGCUUUCCUGAUUGAUUCUCGUGGAAUUAAUCACGAUUAAAAUUUAACCGGCUUUUGUGCAACCGGCACUGAGUAUUCUAAAAUUGUAGUAUUUUAAUAGGCAACUUUUUUGUAUUAAAUAUAUUCCUACAGAUUUAAAAAGAAUUUUAUUUACACUCUAAAGAUCUUCACAUGCAAUGUUAUUUUUUAAUAUCGCAAGUUUUAUUGAUAUUAUAAAUAAUAUUUUUUAAUGUAUUAAUGAUGAGCUGUAUAUUGGUACCGUUAUUAUCUAUUUAUAUGAAAUUAUGACAAACAUGUUGAUUCCUUGAAAAAUCUAGGAUAAGAAUAAUAAUAAUAAUGAUUAUUUUUUAUAGAUUUAAUCCAAUGUUAUGACUGAAUACUUUCAUGUAUUGAUUGUAAAGCUGUAUUGUUGUCAUUAUAUAUUACUGUAUAUAUUAUAUAGUAUUUUUAGAAUUAUUGUUAUUAUUAUUGUAGUUAUUCAUUGAUUUACGAUUUACUAUAGUAUGUUAUUAUUCAUGUUUUUGACACAAUUUUAAACAUUGCAAUUGACAGUUGAAACUGUAUUUUUGUUUUAAUAGUAUUGAAUACAAGCUAUGCUUUUUUCUAAUUAUUGGUUUUAUAUUCAAUUGAAUUUUAACCUUAUAGUCCAGUCAACAAAAGGUUAUGCAGGAAAUAUUUGUAAAAAAAUUUUACCCCGCUGCUUUUAGAAUAGUUAGGAGGUGGGAAUAUCCCCAGUAGAUAACUAUAACAUAUUGUCAGUAGCUCCAUAGAGAAACGACGAUGUUCCUUGGUAUAGGGCGUUUCUGUUCCAAAUUUCAUUGUUGAAGCCGAUAGUCCUAAUAGGAAUUUUUCUUGAAGCUAUGUGACGCUGGUAGUCUUUCAUACUGUGACGUUCUUACAAUCUAACC
Molecule: long non-coding RNA, 5962 nt
Organism: Nilaparvata lugens (brown planthopper)
Lineage: Eukaryota; Metazoa; Arthropoda; Insecta; Hemiptera; Delphacidae
Exons: 3
Source: RefSeq, a predicted model, not a curated record